RNAcentral lists this ribosomal RNA (270 nucleotides) under uncultured archaeon. RNAcentral's name for it is "partial 16S ribosomal RNA". It matches the Rfam family "Archaeal small subunit ribosomal RNA", at positions 477 to 747 of the family's 1478-position model. The record is from RNAcentral.
CAGCUCUCCGAGUAGUAUGGACGUUUAUUGGGCCUAAAGCAUCCGUAGCUUGCUAGAUAAGUCCUCUGUUAAAUCCACCGAUUCAAUCGUUGGAUUGCGGGGGAUACUGUUUGGCUAGGGGACGGGAGAGGUCGACGGUAUUUCCGGGGUAGGGGUGAAAUCCUAUAAUCCCGGGAGGACCACCAGUGGCGAAGGCUGUCGACUAGAACGCGCCCGACGGUGAGGGAUGAAAGCUGGGGGAGCGAACCGGAUUAGAUACCCGUGUAGUCC